RNAcentral lists this unclassified non-coding RNA (238 nucleotides) under plant metagenome. RNAcentral's name for it is "partial contains small subunit ribosomal RNA and internal transcribed spacer 1". The stretch from base 1 to 47 matches the Rfam family "Eukaryotic small subunit ribosomal RNA", at positions 1785 to 1831 of the family's 1831-position model. The record is from RNAcentral.
AAUGUCGUAACAAGGUUUCCGUAGGUGAACCUGCGGAAGGAUCAUUAAAGAGUAAGGGUUCUCUGGCCCGAACCUCCAACCCUCUGUUGUUAAAAGCUACUUCGUUGCUUUGGCGGGACCGCGAAGGUCCUCCCGGAGCGCGCCAGUCUCCGGACAGGCGAGCGCCCGCCAGAGUCUAACCAAAGCUCUUGUUUUAAAUCCAGUCGUCUGAGUAAAAAUUUUUCAAUAAACUUAAAAG